This 1635-nucleotide long non-coding RNA is filed under the name Paramuricea clavata. The record is from RNAcentral. Lineage: Eukaryota; Metazoa; Cnidaria; Anthozoa; Malacalcyonacea; Plexauridae.
CCACCCUGACAAAUAACAAGUAUUUUAGCACAAAAAACAACAGAAUUAGAACAGCGAUAACAAUUACAGUGAACAAGUAUAACAACAGGAACCCACGAACGCUUUGGUACCUAUUUUUACGAUAUACACAGAUAGCGGCAUUUCAUGUUUGUGUUUAUUUUUAAGUUAGAAAACAAUCAUGGUAUAAGACCACCACACUUAUACGAUUACAAAAAUAUAAGCAUAGUACCACUUGUAGUUCAGAAUUACCAUACGUAGUACCACUUGUGAUUCAGAAGUACCACGUGUAGUUCAGAAUUACCAUCACUUGGCCAGUAAAAACAUCGUAGUUGAAAAUAGGUAGUAAAAAUAUGCGAUUUACAAGUUCAUACAUGGGUAACAUAGCAUGCGCUUAUAUUUCAGUACGGAUGGUAAUACAUUUAGAUAUAAAUAUCUAGACUUAUGACAGACUGUGAAACGAGAAACAUUUUUAUAGUUGCAGAUAAAAUCGUACGGCACUUUAAUUAGCCAUUCCGAAGUUGAUGAGAGGACUGCGGACGAGUGUUAAAAGUGCCCAAAUUAAGAAAUGAACCAAAUGACUAAAAAGACCACCUCAAAAUUAGUAAGUAUACAAAGUUUGAAGACGUUUACAUGAAUACCCUUCCAAUAAUAAGCUUUCGAAAAUUGUGAAAUUACUGAUUAAAAGAUUGUUUUUGGGACGCACGUCCCAAAAACAAAAAUUACAAUACAUUUCAGUAAAUAUCACCAUUUUCGAAAGCUUAUUAUUCGAAGGACAUUCAUGUAAGCGUCAAACUUUGUAUACUUACUAAUUUUGAGUCUUUUUAGUGAUUUGGUAUUUCUUAAUUUGGGCACUUUUUAACGCUCUUCCCCAGUCCACUCAUCAACUUCGGAAUGGCCAAUUAGCUCUGCCAAUAGAGCACGGCCAAUUAAAGGUGAUUAGUAAUCAAAGCAUGGUUUCCAUUCGGUCUUUAUAUCUAUGACAAGUUUUCAUGCGACAUGUUUUAUUUGCUCCUUCGCCAAGUUUUUCCAAGACAAGUACACUUUUUCAAAAGCUAACAAACUAGCUUUUGAACAGGUGUGCAUGUCAUAGAAAAAAUAGGCAAAGUACAAAUUUUGCUUGUCUGUAUGGGUUAACAAAGAAAAUUUGACAAAUUAAUUUGAGCACUUGUUGUUGUACUAGCUAUUGUGGCGGCCUGAAGACAUGGGCCUUGUCAUGAAAAAAUGUGCUCUGAACGUACUACUCACGUGCAAAUAAAACUGGUCAUAUGAAAAUUUGUCAUGUGUAACCACAGAUCUGAAAACUGGGUACCAUUUGAAUUCAAUGAACCAAUUUUGAGAAAAUGUCUUUGCCUGGCCUACCUUGAAACAUACAGCUCCCUCCCCGCAUCUCUUUUAACGAGAACGUUUUAUACAGGGUUCGUACACGUCAGAAAGAGUCAAAUUCAAGGACUUUUUAAAGACAUCCAAGGUCAUUUAUCAGCAAAUUCAAGGAGUAAAUACUGAAGAGAAAGCGUUAAAAAAUCUGACGUUGAAUUGUUCAAUUUCCGUUUUGAAUGUCAAACAAUUUCAGAAAAUAUUCAUAAACUAAAGCAAAAAGAAUUUAAGAACUCUCAAGUACUUCUUUACAAAUUCAAA